RNAcentral lists this ribosomal RNA (254 nucleotides) under uncultured bacterium. Its description in RNAcentral is "partial 16S ribosomal RNA". It matches the Rfam family "Bacterial small subunit ribosomal RNA", at positions 524 to 776 of the family's 1533-position model. The record is from RNAcentral.
UACGGAGGGUGCGAGCGUUGUCCGGAAUCAUUGGGCGUAAAGGGCGCGUAGGUGGCCCGGUCAGUCUUUGGUGAAAGCGCGGGGCUCAACCCUGCGUCGGCCAGGGAUACUGCCGCGGCUGGAGCACUGUAGAGGCAGGCGGAAUUCCGGGUGUAGCGGUGGAAUGCGUAGAGAUCCGGAAGAACACCGGUGGCGAAGGCGGCCUGCUGGGCAGCGACUGACGCUGAGACGCGAAAGCGUGGGGAGCAAACAGG